Ictalurus punctatus (channel catfish) is the source of this 664-nucleotide long non-coding RNA. The record is from Ensembl. Lineage: Eukaryota; Metazoa; Chordata; Actinopteri; Siluriformes; Ictaluridae.
GUCAUUAUGUAAUCUGGUACGAUACUUUAUCUAAAUUGUAAAUAUUCAUUACAUUUAUAUUACAGUGCAAGACCGAGUUAAGCUCAUCUGUUUCUAGUGUAUAGACAGCUUGGUGAUUAUUUCUGAUGAUGAGAUUCCCGAAACAACCACUCAGGACCUUUUGAAUCUGAGUUCCACACAAUUUGAGGGAAACGUGUCUAACAGUGAUUACGACGGAGAUAUUUCAGAUACGAGUGCUACAAUAGAAGACCAAGAGGAAAUCAUCUCGGAAACCGACAUUCAACAAGACAUCGAACUACAACAGAUCUGCGCAGUGUGGCGUGAAUUCUUCGAAGCAAAGACUGAUUUAUUGGAAAACUUUGGACAGAUUGAUUAUACACUUGAAUCUGGUCGAGGUACAGAUUUUAUCCCAUUACUGUACAGCACGCUUGAAAAUGUGAAUAGAUGUCUCUCAGUGAGCAUAAAGUUGAUUAGAAAAUUGUAUGAUAGAUAUGGCGCAGAAACGACUGAAAUGCAGUUCGGAUAUGGAGAUUAAAAAAAAGAGAACCGAAAAUUCUCCAUUAUCGCAUGAUUUCUUUUAUGACGGAAACCAGAGAUUUUCAAAUGAUUCGCACACACCCCUGAACCCAUAUUUAACUGAAGCGAUCAACAGGCUGAACGAAAG